ACUUUCGAUGGUAGGAUAGUGGCCUACCAUGGUUUCAACGGGUAACGGGGAAUAAGGGUUCGAUUCCGGAGAGGGAGCCUGAGAAACGGCUACCACAUCCAAGGAAGGCAGCAGGCGCGCAAAUUACCCGAUCCUAAUUCAGGGAGGUAGUGACAAUAAAUAACGAUACAGGGCCCAUUCGGGUCUUGUAAUUGGAAUGAGUACAAUGUAAAUACCUUAACGAGGAACAAUUGGAGGGCAAGUCUGGUGCCAGCAGCCGCGGUAAUUCCAGCUCCAAUAGCGUAUAUUAAAGUUGUUGCAGCUAAAAAGCUCGUAGUUGAACUUUGGGCCCGGUUGGCCGGUCCGAUUUUUUCGUGUACUGGAUUUCCAACGGGGCCUUUCCUUCUGGCUAACCUUGAGUCCUUGUGGCUCUUGGCGAACCAGGACUUUUACUUUGAAAAAAUUAGAGUGUUCAAAGCAGGCGUAUUGCUCGAAUAUAUAAACAUGGAAUAAUAGAAUAGGACGUUUGGUUCUAUUUUGUUGGUUUCUA
Molecule: ribosomal RNA, 529 nt
Filed under: uncultured Saccharomycetes
Lineage: Eukaryota; Fungi; Ascomycota; Saccharomycetes
Description: SSU rRNA
Rfam family: Eukaryotic small subunit ribosomal RNA
Source: RNAcentral